RNAcentral lists this ribosomal RNA (443 nucleotides) under uncultured bacterium. Its description in RNAcentral is "bacterial SSU rRNA". It matches the Rfam family "Bacterial small subunit ribosomal RNA", at positions 29 to 517 of the family's 1533-position model. The record is from RNAcentral.
AACGAACGCUGGCGGCAUGCCUAACACAUGCAAGUCGAACGAGACCUUCGGGUCUAGUGGCGCACGGGUGCGUAACGCGUGGGAAUCUGCCCUUGGGUUCGGAAUAACAGCGAGAAAUUGCUGCUAAUACCGGAUGAUGACGUAAGUCCAAAGAUUUAUCGCCCAAGGAUGAGCCCGCGUAGGAUUAGCUAGUUGGUGAGGUAAAGGCUCACCAAGGCGACGAUCCUUAGCUGGUCUGAGAGGAUGAUCAGCCACACUGGGACUGAGACACGGCCCAGACUCCUACGGGAGGCAGCAGUGGGGAAUAUUGGACAAUGGGCGAAAGCCUGAUCCAGCAAUGCCGCGUGAGUGAUGAAGGCCUUAGGGUUGUAAAGCUCUUUUACCCGGGAUGAUAAUGACAGUACCGGGAGAAUAAGCUCCGGCUAACUCCGUGCCAGCAGCCG